This 203-nucleotide non-coding RNA is filed under the name Caloranaerobacter azorensis. RNAcentral describes it as "T-box sequence". It matches the Rfam family "T-box leader". From Rfam's summary of the family: Uncharged tRNA acts as the effector for transcription antitermination of genes in the T-box leader family. T-boxes are found upstream of many aminoacyl-tRNA synthetase genes and some amino acid biosynthetic genes usually in Gram-positive bacteria. Lineage: Bacteria; Bacillati; Bacillota; Tissierellia; Tissierellales; Thermohalobacteraceae. The record is from RNAcentral.
AUAAAGACUAUGAAAGGGAGAGUAGUUAUUGUGGGAUUUCAAGAGAGCUAGCGGUUGGUGUGAGCUAGUAAUCCUGCUUUAAUGAAAAUCACCCUGGAGUUGACCUUCGAAAUUGAGUAGGGGGUUCCGGUAAUCCGUUAUUUAAAUGAGAGACCAUUUGUAUGGUAAAUUGGGUGGUAACGCGGAGUAACUUCGUCCCAUUG